Molecule: ribosomal RNA, 476 nt
Filed under: uncultured bacterium
Lineage: Bacteria
Description: partial 16S ribosomal RNA
Rfam family: Bacterial small subunit ribosomal RNA
Source: RNAcentral
GACGAACGCUGGCGGCGUGCUUAACACAUGCAAGUCGAACGCAGAGGCCCUGCUUUUGUUGUUUGCGCGAGUGUCGAGCGGGUGAGUAACACGUGAGUAACCUGCCCUUGACUGUGGGGUAACUUCAUGGAACUGGGGCGCAUACCGGGUAUGAGAUCCUUCUUCGUGUGGUAGGUUGGUAAAUGGCGCCACUUCGGGAUUUACGGGCGGCUCUGCGGUUUGUUGGUGGGUUGGUGGGGUACCGGCUCAUAAAGGCGUAGCCGGGUAGCCGGCCUGAGAGGGUGACAGGCCACAGUGGGACUGAGGUACGGCCCAGACUGCUACGGCAGGCAGCAGUGGGGAUCAUUGCAAAAUGGGCGGAAGCCGUAUGCAGCAUCGCCGCGUGCGGGAUCACGGCCGUAGGGUUGUAAACCGCUUUCGCCUGUGACGAAGCGUGAGUGACGGUAAUGGGUAAAGAAGCACCGGCUAACUACGUG